Long non-coding RNA from Daktulosphaira vitifoliae (grape phylloxera), 2040 nucleotides. RefSeq lists it as uncharacterized. NCBI's taxonomy places the organism in Eukaryota, Metazoa, Arthropoda, Insecta, Hemiptera, Phylloxeridae. The transcript is spliced from 3 exons. The record is from RefSeq and is a predicted model, not a curated record.
UUUUGGUGUUCAAAAAGAUUCUACAAUGGAAAUAUUUAAAACUUAAUUAAUUUUAAUGGUUUACUUAAACUAAAAGAACCAAUAAAACAAAAUUAUUAAAAAGAUUUACUCAAUUGAGCGUAUUAUAAAAUUUGAUUAUAAUUGUAAAAAUCCAUUGUUAAAUUCAGGUGAAACUAAAAAUCAUUUUUUUUUUAGAUUUAUGUUUUAUAUAGCAACAUAUUACAAAAAAAUUUAGAAUAUUGUAGACUGGAAAAGCUGGUUAAGCUACAUUUUAUUUGAAUAAGAGAUUGUAAGCUAAACUAAUAAACAUCAGCCUCACUUUACAAGGACCCCAAGAAGGGUCCACCCUGGGCCGAGGCAAAGCCGGAGCACCAGGGAUUUUGUACCUUAUUCUAUGGUGAAAGGUAAUGAAGAAUAGUAAUUCUUUAAGAUAACAAAGAUUAAAAUUUAUUAAUUAUUACAAGUUCAAUUUUUGUUUAUCAUAACAACUAAACUUAAUAGACAAUUAAAUUUUACUAAUAAACAAAAUAGAUCUAAAUAUAUCCGAAUAAACCGUAGUAUGUUAAAUAAAAUACUAUGAAAAUUAAACAAUGGUCAAGGAUCAGAAAAAAAAUAUAUGAGUAAAAGGUAAGUAAGGCAAUAACAGAAAGAAAAACAGGUACCUUUAGAUAAACCCAGUUAAUAUGAUUUUGGCCUAAUAAAUGUUUUUUUAUGUACAUGCAACAUUUUACACCCAUAAAGGUAAAACAGUGAAUGGUGAUUGAUUGCAAUUAUAUAGAGUUAACUGUCUACAGACAGACUGGCUUCAGAAUGGUCUUUGUAUUUUGUGAGUUGUAUAAUUACACAUGGCCCAUGUGGUUUAAACAUAAUGUUCACAUAAUCAGUAUUUAAGAGUUCAUUUCAGAACAACUUAACAUAUCAAAUAUUAACUGGAUCAAAUAAUUAAUUUAAUAAUGUAACAACAAGAGAAAACACAAAGAAAAUAGGAGGGUAACGUGGGUAUGACAGAUCCAUCGUAUGGGUCAGGGUAAAAUGGACAUGUCACCAACGUCAAUAGGUAUCCUCUACAUAAGUGUAGAGGACCCAUUAAGAUGUUCACCAUGUCCACUCUGACCACACCCGAGAACCUGUCAACUCACGUAAGGUGAAGAAAGAAAAAUUAAAGAAACAGAAAGAAUUGACCAUAUAACAUAAUCUGAGAUCAUAGUUACAAUCCAUAUAGUCAUUAACUAAAAAAUAAGAGGAUGACGAAAUAGUCAUAGCCCAAAACACAAUGAAGUAAUUUACAUAUGCAAGCAGUGGCGGCUCGUGGGUCUCGGAAGUGACGAGGAAUGAGCGCCACUAAAAAAAAAAAAAUUACAACUAUUGAAAAACAAUCAAAUUUAUACAAAGUUAAAAUUCAUCUUCAGUACUUGAGUAGUACUUAAAUAGAGGUUACGGAGAUUGCCACGAACUGAUAAUGCUUCGACAUUCAUAUACUCCGACAUUGUAAAAAAAUCCCCCGAAUACAUUUACUCCGACAACAAUUACUACGAAUACCUCGUUACAAAAAUUUGGAUAUUACUACGACGAUGAAUACUACGAAUAGGAAAAUUAGUUGAUUGCUCCGAAUAUCGAUUAAAAAAUUAUCAAAUUUCGGAGUAGAUGAUUAUCGUAGCAAUAUAUUAUCUGAUGGAAAAAUAUAACAUGAUACACGUUAAGCUAACGAGAUGAAAACAUUGGCAAAAUAAUCAUCUUUUCGCAGUGUCGGCCUGGCUCAGAAGGCCUUCAUUAAAUUUAAGAUUUUUUUCUCGCUGGACCAUGGAGAAUUAUCUGAAAGGUCAUUAAGGAAAAUUGCCUCCGGGAUCAUCUCUAAGGUUCCAGACCGACACUAUUUCCUAAUAAAUAUCGAUUAGAUCUGGCCAAAGCUGAAAGUCAUUCAAAUGAGGAUGAUCUUUGAACAAAAACAACACUGUCAAAAAAAAAAUGUUUUAAUUUUUGACUAUUUUCUUAUUAUACCUUACUAUAUAGACAGUACACAAAUAAAAAAAAAAAUGUGAU